Molecule: ribosomal RNA, 857 nt
Filed under: Promicromonospora sp.
Lineage: Bacteria; Bacillati; Actinomycetota; Actinomycetes; Micrococcales; Promicromonosporaceae
Description: bacterial SSU rRNA
Rfam family: Bacterial small subunit ribosomal RNA
Source: RNAcentral
CACAUGCAGUCGAACGGUGAUGCCCAGCUUGCUGGGUGGAUCAGUGGCGAACGGGUGAGUAACACGUGAGCAACCUGCCCCCUACUUCGGGAUAAGCCUUGGAAACGAGGUCUAAUACCGGAUAUGAGCACUUACCGCAUGGUGGGUGUUGGAAAGUUUUUCGGUGGGGGAUGGGCUCGCGGCCUAUCAGCUUGUUGGUGGGGUAAUGGCCUACCAAGGCGUCGACGGGUAGCCGGCCUGAGAGGGCGACCGGCCACACUGGGACUGAGACACGGCCCAGACUCCUACGGGAGGCAGCAGUGGGGAAUAUUGCACAAUGGGCGAAAGCCUGAUGCAGCGACGCCACGUGAGGGAUGACGGCCUUCGGGUUGUAAACCUCUUUCAGCAGGGAAGAAGCGAAAGUGACGGUACCUGCAGAAGAAGCGCCGGCUAACUACGUGCCAGCAGCCGCGGUAAUACGUAGGGCGCAAGCGUUGUCCGGAAUUAUUGGGCGUAAAGAGCUCGUAGGCGGUCUGUCGCGUCUGGUGUGAAAUCCCAUGGCUCAACUGUGGGCUUGCAUCGGGUACGGGCAGACUAGAGUGCUGUAGGGGAGACUGGAAUUCCUGGUGUAGCGGUGGAAUGCGCAGAUAUCAGGAGGAACACCGAUGGCGAAGGCAGGUCUCUGGGCAGUUACUGACGCUGAGGAGCGAAAGCAUGGGGAGCGAACAGGAUUAGAUACCCUGGUAGUCCAUGCCGUAAACGUUGGGCACUAGGUGUGGGGCCAGUUCCACUGGUUCUGUGCCGCAGCUAACGCAUUAAGUGCCCCGCCUGGGGGAGUACGGCCGCAAGGCUAAAACUCAAAGGAAUUGACGGGGGCC